Molecule: ribosomal RNA, 494 nt
Filed under: uncultured bacterium
Lineage: Bacteria
Description: partial 16S ribosomal RNA
Rfam family: Bacterial small subunit ribosomal RNA
Source: RNAcentral
GACGAACGCUGGCGGCGUGCUUAACACAUGCAAGUCGAACGGAAAGGCCUGCUUUCCCUUGUGGAUUGCGGGUACUCGAGUGGCGAACGGGUGAGUAACACGUGAGUGAUCUGCCCCCAACUUGGGUAUAAGCCUGGGAAACUGGGUCUAAUUCCCGAUAGGACUGCAGGGUGGUGCCUGUGGUGGAAAACGAUUUUCUAGUGGUUGGGGAUGAGCUCGCGGCCUAUCAGCUUGUUGGUGGGGUAAUGGCCUACCAAGGCGGCGACGGGUAGCCGGCCUGAGAGGGUGGACGGCCACAUUGGGACUGAGAUACGGCCCAGACUCAUACGGGAGGCAGCAGUGGGGAAUAGUGCACAAUGGGCGGAAGCCUGAUGCAGCGACGCCGCGUGGGGGAUGACGGCCUUCGGGUUGUAAACUCCUUUCGACCGCGAGGAAGCCACCUGGUUGGAAGGGUGGUGACGGUAGUGGUAGAAGAAGCACCGGCUAACUACGUG